CUCGAGUGCAUGAAGCUGGAAUCGCUAGUAUCGCGGAUCAGAAUGCCGCGGUGAAUACGUUCCCGGGUCUUGUACACACCGCCCGUCACACCAUGGGAGUCGGGAAUGCCCGAAGCCGGUGGCCCGAUCGAGAGAAGGGAGCCGUCGAAGGCAGGCCGGAUGACUGGGGUGAAGUCGUAACAAGGUACC
Molecule: ribosomal RNA, 189 nt
Filed under: uncultured bacterium
Lineage: Bacteria
Description: partial 16S ribosomal RNA
Rfam family: Bacterial small subunit ribosomal RNA
Source: RNAcentral